UUUUUUUUUUUUUUUUUUUUUGAUGAUAUACUAAUUUAUAGUCUCUCUUGGCAGGAACAUUUGCAUCACUUACGGGUAGUUUUGAAAUUAUUGCAGGAUAAUCAAUUUGUGGCUAAUCAAAAGAAGAGCACUUUCGGCAAAUAACAUAUUGACUAUUUGGGCAUCUCAUUUCAUUCCAAGGAGUUGCCAUGGAUCCCAAUAAAAUAUCUAGUGUGUUGAAUUGGCCAAUUUCAAAGUCGAUCAAAGGUGUACGGGGGUUUUUGGGUUUGAUGGGGUAUUACCGUCGUUUUGUCAAGGACUAUGGGAAAAUUGCUCAGCCUCUCAUGUAAUUACCUAAAAAAGACCAGCUGAAGGACUUUCAGUGGAAUUCUAGUGCCCAACAAGCCUUUGAGAGCUUGAAGACGGCAAUGACGACCUCACCUAUGUUGGCUAUGCCUGACUUUAAUCAACCAUUUGUGUUGUAGUGUGAUGCUUCAGGUCGGGGAUUAGGGGCAGUAUUAAUCCAAGAUCGUCGGCCAAUUGCUUAUUUUAGCAAAGCAUUGUC
RNAcentral lists this unclassified non-coding RNA (544 nucleotides) under Hevea brasiliensis (rubber tree). The record is from RNAcentral. Lineage: Eukaryota; Viridiplantae; Streptophyta; Magnoliopsida; Malpighiales; Euphorbiaceae.